GCGCAGCAGUCGCGAAACCUUCGCAAUGCGGGAAACCGCGACGAGGGGACUCCCAGUGCCUACGCUCAGCGUAGGCUGUUCCCGAGCCUAGAAAGCUCGGGGAGUAAGGGCUGGGUAAGACGGGUGCCAGCCGCCGCGGUAAUACCCGCAGCCCGAGUGGUGGCCACUAUUAUUGGGCCUAAAGCGUCCGUAGCCGGCCCGGUAAAUGCCUGGGUAAAUCGUGAGGCCUAACCUCACGAAUUCCGGGUAGACUGCCGGGCUAGGGACCGGAGGAGGGAGAGGGUACUCCAGGGGUAGGGGUGAAAUCCUGUAAUCCCUGGAGGACCACCGGUGGCGAAGGCGCUCUCCGUAGGACGGUCCAACGGUGAGGGACGAAAGCC
This 380-nucleotide ribosomal RNA is filed under the name uncultured microorganism. Its description in RNAcentral is "bacterial SSU rRNA". It matches the Rfam family "Archaeal small subunit ribosomal RNA", at positions 330 to 712 of the family's 1478-position model. The record is from RNAcentral.